RNAcentral lists this ribosomal RNA (480 nucleotides) under uncultured bacterium. Its description in RNAcentral is "partial 16S ribosomal RNA". It matches the Rfam family "Bacterial small subunit ribosomal RNA", at positions 28 to 523 of the family's 1533-position model. The record is from RNAcentral.
GACGAACGCUGGCGGCGUGCUUAACACAUGCAAGUCGAGCGGAAAGGCCACUUCGGUGGUACUCGAGCAGCGAACGGGUGAGUAACACGUGAGUAAUCUGCCCUUCACUCUGGGAUAGCCACCGGAAACGGUGAUUAAUACCGGAUACGACCACUCCACGCAUGUGGUGGUGGUGGAAACUUUUUGGGUGGGGGAUGUGCUCGCGGCCGAUCAGCUUGUUGGUGGGGUAAUGGCCUACCAAGGCUUCGACGGGUAGCCGGCCUGAGAGGGUGACCGGCCACACUGGGACUGAGACACGGCCCAGACUCCUACGGGAGGCAGCAGUGGGGAAUAUUGGACAAUGGGCGGAAGCCUGAUCCAGCAACGCCGCGUGAGGGAUGACGGCCUUCGGGUUGUAAACCUCUUUCAGCACCGACGAAGCGCAAGUGACGGUAGGUGCAGAAGAAGGACCGGCCAACUACGUGCCAGCCGCCGCAGUAA